AAAGUCGUAACAAGGUUUCCGUAGGUGAACCUGCGGAAGGAUCAUUAAUAGUAUUUAAAUUAUUACCUUAUUGUGCAUUGUCGUUUUGCUUAUUGCAGCAGGCGUUAUACAAGAAUAGUGUGUAUGGCGUGUGUGUGUGAGAUUGCUGUUGUGAAGAAUGAUGAUGGUAGUUACGGUGGGAUAGUUAAUGUGUGGAGUAGUGAGGGUCUCGCAGCUUUUGUUGUGUCACUUAACGCUUCGUAUAGUAACGGUUUCAUUUAUUAUUGUCACUUCACAACCAGUAUACACACAUACAUUAUGCGUCGUGUGUACAUUACUACUAUGUAUGACUUUUUAUUAAACAAACUUAUGUUUACUCUUAUAUAUUGUAAUGUUGUCGUUAUUUUUAACAGUUUUUAGCUGUAGUAUAAUAAUAUCAAUACAACUUACAGCGAUGGAUCUCUAGGCUCUG
This 451-nucleotide unclassified non-coding RNA is filed under the name Basidiomycota sp. Its description in RNAcentral is "partial contains small subunit ribosomal RNA and internal transcribed spacer 1". The stretch from base 1 to 47 matches the Rfam family "Eukaryotic small subunit ribosomal RNA", at positions 1785 to 1831 of the family's 1831-position model. Lineage: Eukaryota; Fungi; Basidiomycota. The record is from RNAcentral.